RNAcentral lists this unclassified non-coding RNA (356 nucleotides) under soil metagenome. Its description in RNAcentral is "partial contains 5.8S ribosomal RNA, internal transcribed spacer 2, and large subunit ribosomal RNA". The stretch from base 1 to 120 matches the Rfam family "5.8S ribosomal RNA", at positions 35 to 154 of the family's 154-position model. The record is from RNAcentral.
GAUGAAGAACGUAGCGAAAUGCGAUAAGUAAUGUGAAUUGCAGAAUUCAGUGAAUCAUCGAAUCUUUGAACGCACAUUGCGCCCGCCAGUAUUCUGGCGGGCAUGCCUGUCCGAGCGUCAUUUCAACCCUCGAACCCCUCCGGGGGGUCGGCGUUGGGGACCUCGGGAGCCCCUAAGACGGGAUCCCGGCCCCGAAAUACAGUGGCGGUCUCGCCGCAGCCUCUCCUGCGCAGUAGUUUGCACAACUCGCACCGGGAGCGCGGCGCGUCCACGUCCGUAAAACACCCAACUUCUGAAAUGUUGACCUCGGAUCAGGUAGGAAUACCCGCUGAACUUAAGCAUAUCAAAGCGGAGGA